GUCUCCCACCUCUCAACUUCCCCUUUUUCUCACUGCUGGUUAGAGACUCCAUUGUCAGCCCCCAAUUUCACUCGCCCUGCCGCCGCCGUCCCCCUGGCUUGGCUUGUACUGCUUUAUACCGCUUAGCUCGUCCGCCCCUGGCCCCCGGCUCCCUCGCGCGGCCGCCGGCCCGAGCUUUGGGCGCGCGGCCCCGCUCCCCGGCUCCGUCGCGCGCUCCUGCCCCGGGUCCCUCGCGUGGCCGCCCGGCGCAGAUUCGCUCGCCUGGCCCCGCCCCCCGCUCCCUCGCGCGCCCCUGCCACCGGCUGCCUCGCGCGGCCCCUGCCCCAUCUUCGCUCGCGCAUCCCCGCCACACGGCUCCGUCGCACGGCCGCCAGCCGCCGGCUCCCUCGCGACGGACCGGCCUCCCCUGCGCCUGCAGGGAUGAGCCAGGGUUCACCGCUGGCGCGGUGCCGUUGAAGAUCCCAGGGUUCCGAAAGGAUUCGAGGGAGCGCGGGUGGUGUUGUUUGGCCUCAAUUCAUAGUGGUGAUGUUGGAUUGAUGCCGCUCGGGAAGAUUGAUCAGCGUGGAGAAUAAUAGUGGAAACCUACUUUCUGGUCGUCGGCGCGACUGAGGCGGUCAAUGGCGUCAUCGCGCUAGGCAAGCUGAGAGCGCAUCCCGUGGCCUCAGUCUCCAGCCACCCGAUGUGGGAUGCACAAUGUGGGAAGCUAGUGCGUUGGAGGUGAUCUUCCGCGCCACGUCAAGCUGCUCAAACCGGUCCACCGGAAGCAUCGCCGCCAGCUUUUAUGAAGGUUAAUACUUCGCCGAGACGUGCCAGAAGUUUGUCGUCGGGACUGCCUCCUAAUUCCUGCCGUCCCAGCGCACCGGCGCCGCCUUGGACCGCUUCGAGCUCGACAACGACGACGGAGGGACUGUGGUUCUUCCGCCCGGGCCUCCUCGACCUUGAUACCCGUGGCGGAGGGAUUAUGGUGCUGCCGCCCUGGACCUCCUCGACCUUCAUACCCGCGGCGGAGGGAUUGUGCUGCUACCGCCAAAGGGUUCUCCAACAACCAGGAUCGCCGAGGCGGGUUCAGAGUGUUGAUCUCUGGUGCAUACUUGGACUACCUCCUCGUGGAGAUGUUAUAGGUCAGUUUGUCGGUGCUUAACUGACACAUGUUCUCAUGAGCACCAAUACAUCUGAAAAGUAGGUCAUUGCUCUGAGAGAUCACAGGAACAUUGAGCUUAAACUUGUGCUUUCGGGACAAAGGGUUGCUGAAUUCGAUGCUAAACUUGUGCAUGAUGAUGGGAUGACGUAAAGGCAUUUUAUGAGGUGGACUGAACUACUUUGAGAUAUAUUGAUAACACUUCACACACAGAAUGAAAGGAGUGGCAGGCAGAUUUAAAUAAAACAAUGUUUGAUGCUGAAUUUACUAAUGAACAGCUAUUGAAAAAACGUGAUGACAGAAUUUGUGAAGCUGAUUGGAAGGACCUUAUUAAAUAUUGGAGAUCUCCUCAAUUUGAAGCGCACGGGUAUAUUAUUCUUGAGCAGCUGGAGGAGUUGAUGGUCAGACAAGUAGGUGGAUUCUCGGAUCAGUCCACCAAUUUACAAAGUUAAAAUCUUGGGUCAAGGGAAUAGCUGUUGAGAAAAGGCCAACCAGCUAAGGUGGAAUCAAAGGUUAUUGGCUAUUAUGGAAGGAAUAUUCAAUAGAGAAAAUUCAUCCAUAGAGCACAUAACUUGGCAAAAUGAAAUUCUGGACCAGCAUCACAUGAAAUUGUGAAGGCAUUACUGGACACACAAUGUAGAGUAACUCAAGUGAGCAACAAAGCUGGCAGGUCCGACUUUUGAUGUCCCUUGAAAACUUGUUUGAAGAAUGGGCAGGUUAAAAUCUGGAUAGAUGAGAUCUCUCCCCGGCGGAGCUUGAGGGUACCUUUUAUAUGUCUGCUUCCUUAUCGCAAUUUUGGUAGAAGUUUUAAUUACCAUUACAAUAGCAGGAUGCUGGGUAUCUCCGGAUACCAUUUUUAUGUGUGCACAAUUAUCGUAAAUUAAGUAAUUACAUAAUCACCGAAUCCAUAGCGUGAUUUAUGGGUCGAGUUGAUUUCAACAUCCAGAGAUCCUAUAGCCAAUCUCCUGACUUACUCAUUGAUUUGAUCCACGUAACUUUUGGGUUUAUUAAAUGAGAGCAUCUUGAGAUACUAUUUGGAUCGAGUUGAAUUAUUCAGUGAUUUGAUCCACGUAAUUUUUGGGUUUAUUAAAUGAGAGCAUCCGGAGAUACUAUUUGGGUCGAGUUGACUUACGCAUUGAUUUGAUCCACAUAAAUUUUGGGUUUAUUAAAUGAGAUGCUUUAUUACAAAUAUUUUAUUUUAUUUAAAUUUGUCUAUUAUUGUAUGCCGGUUUUUGCUUAGUAUAAAAUGUUGAAGGUUAUUUUUGCCUCUUUGUCUUACUCCACGUAUUGGCUAUUUUUGCCUUGGAAGCUCUACCAGUUUUGCUCACAUGUGUUUCGUAGAAGGUUAAAUUUUAUUGAUGCAUGUUUUCCUUUCAUAAUGUGUCAUAGGGAUAAAAAAGAUUAUAAGCCAAAUCCCCUACUUGACAAGAAUUACAAAGUAUUUCGUUCUAACAAUAAUCCAUGACCACAUAUGAGUCUUUGUUGUUUAUGAGAAUAGGAACCCAUCUCAUGUACUCAUUGCCUUCCGAGACGUAGGGUUUUAUAGAAACCCAUUUUCAUAUAGGAACAACUAAUUAUAACUAAUUGGUAAAAAAGAUGUCCGCUGCCACACCAAGGCCAGAGCACCCAUGUAGCGACGCAUCUUGUCACGUGGACCACCGAUAAAUGUUCCCGGCAACAUUGUACGCUUUCCAAUAGCAUCAGCACUACCCUGAACAUCCGUUGAGCUCACCUAUGAACAUGUGGUAGUCAUAGAGUUAAAAAAUAGUAAAGGUAGUCAUCUAGAUGAUGAUUGCCUUGACAUGCAUUAACAUCAUAAAUUGAACGGUAUCAUAGAGUUUAAAAAAGAGCAUAAGCAAGAUGAUGAAUUGCCUUACCUGAGCGCUGUCUCCUGAUUCACUCUCUUUCUUAUCAUUUUCCACAAUCUCUCCCAUCUGAAUAUCAAUUAAACACAUAUGUGAAAGGUAGUCAUGGAGUUAAAAAAUAAUAAGAUAGUUAGGAACAUGAUGAAUUAGUUUGUGCAUAGUUUAAUUUAUACUGCUGUAUUUCUUCUCUAAUUCGUAAGUUUACCCCUAGUCGCAAACUUUGACGAUGUGGAGAUGUGCCAUGUUAUCAAGGCGGUCGCGGCCGGGCGUGCAUCCGGCACUCGGCUUCAAGGAGCCCAAAGAUGGGGCAGUUGUUAGGAUUCUAGACAGCCUGACCUUCAACAAUGUGGACUUGACCAACGACGUGCAACCUAGGAUGAGCCAGAUGUUCAAUGUCUCGAACACGGUGGGCAUCAGGCAGUUCCAGAGGAUGGCCUUCGACAGCCAGGAUUACAGCUCUGGGUAUACCCACUCCAAAAUUAAUGUUGGUCUGAUUCUAUGCAUGAGGUUACUUCUGCUAUAGUUAAUUUUAAAUAAGCAUUGGCUGUCGUGUGGACAACUCCUGAGAUCAAGGCAAGAGCGACCAAAGAUUGCUAGAAGACUUGUGGAUUUAAGUCUAGCACCCAAGGGUUGUUUCCAUGUCCUCACUCACUAUACUCGUCCCAGCGAUGCCCAGCUAGACAUAGCCAUCGAUUGAUGUUUGUGCUCGGCUCAGCGGUCCGCAAACGGUCUAGGUGCCCGCAACUUGAGGUAGCUGUGUGAGUCAGCCGCGUAUGGCUCAGGAUCAGUGAUACGUCUCCGACGUAUCGAUAAUUUCUUAUGUUCCAUGCCACAUUAUUGAUGAUAUCUACAUGUUUUUUUCACACUUUAUGUCAUUAUUAUGCGUUUCCGGAACUAACCUAUUGAC
Lolium perenne is the source of this 3910-nucleotide non-coding RNA. NCBI's taxonomy places the organism in Eukaryota, Viridiplantae, Streptophyta, Magnoliopsida, Poales, Poaceae. The record is from RefSeq and is a predicted model, not a curated record.